AAACAUAAUCUUGAAUGAAUGCACCGUUCAAGUUAUUCUACUGUAGUCUACAAUGUAUUUGGAUGGUGCUGUUACUGUCACGGUUUUGGAUGCUGCUUUAAAAUUAACUACCAUUCUGUAUUCAAUGGUUUUGUAUGCUUCCUGAUCUACCUGCCAUUUCCUUUUUUUUAUUUUGUUAUGUCUCAUCUUAAAAGGCCUCUAGAAGCAUACUUCCAUAAAAUCCUGACCUUUCCUUUCAUAUUCGAGCCUCUUAGGGAUUCAAACAGCCACCAAUCGACAUGCCUAUGACGGCAAAUUUUGUGAUAAAAAAAGGCUAAGCAAUCUUCUCAUCAUUGUCUAGCAAGGGAGCAAUGUAAGAAGAUGUGAUCCAGGGAUUCAUCAUUUCCUUUGAAUUGUUUCUUGUGCAUUUAAGCUUCUAUGAGCCAUAGACCAUGAGAAAAAUUUCAACUUUCUUGAAUUUUUGAAAUCCCAAAUUUACUUUGUCAACGUGCUUUUAAAUAGUUGUCUUGAGGUUGCCAAAUUAAAAACUAGGGACUUGGUGGAAAAAGCUCCCAAAGAGUUCAAGGACCAGCUAAUAUUAUCCUCUCGUUCACCCAAAUGAAAGCCUUCCAGCUUCUCUUCGAGUUCAAUCCAGGCCUGGAGUUCUAUAUCAAAUAUCCCUCUUCUGAUCCCCAGAUCCCAGGUCUCCUGAAUUCCAUCCCUACAUUUGGCCAAUGUAGCUUCCUCUUUUAGGGAGAGAUUAGAAAUAUCCGGGAAGGCAGCUUGAAGAGAGGAUUUCUCAGCCAUAUGUCUUUCCGAAAACCAAUCCUUGGCACAUUUCGAGCUUUGAAUCUUGUGAAUCUCUCGUCAGGGGACUGGGGAGCAAAUUUGGCAAUGUGAAACGAAGGUCUGUUCUUGGAGCGACUUUUAGGUUGUGAAGCCGGCAACCGAGAGGUUCUUCCCCAUAAAUGCUAGCCUUCACCUGUUUCAGUGGAGAGCCUUCAGCACCACUUAAUAAGAAUACUAGCUGAAUUUCUAUACUUAAGUGAGCCAAUACCCAAUCCUCCUUGACAGAGGGGGAGGGCACUGAUUUUCCACUCACAAGAUGACUUCUAACUUUAAAAUCACCCCCAUUCCAAAAGAAAUCUCUAAUAAACUUUUCCAUGCUAUUAAUGCCACCCACAAAUGUUUUAAGAAGGGAAAAGAAGUAAAGAAGCAAACCAUUGAGAACCAAAUUUAUUAGAGAUAAACGCUUCCCUUUCAAAAGCAUAGAGUUCUCCCCCUUAGCAAAUUUACCCUUGAAGUUUCCAAAAAGAGAGAGAACGGUGCUUACCUCCAAGGGGGAAUCCAGGUAAUUUAUAGAGAGAGACUCAGCUUUAUGACCUAAUCCAUUUGUCUACGCAGCCAUCUCCUGGUCAUCAAUACUAAUCUCAAUCAGUGAGGUUCUGGAGACAUUUAGGCUAAAGACCCAAAUAACAGAGGAAAAGGGACCUCACUCUCCACCAAUUCUUCCAGGAUAUUCUUCCCCCAGACAAAAAAAAUAAUUGUCAUCAACAUAUUGCGAAGGAUAAAUAACCACAUUCUAACUCCCCACUGUCUAGCCUCUCAAGAUUCUUCUCUUCGAGCAAAUGUGGAUCAAUGGACUGAAAGCAUCACCCUUCAAAGUGAAAAGGAGGUAUCUCCAUGUCUCAAUCCCUUUCUAGCUAAGAUUUUACCAUGAGGUUUUCUGUUUAUAAUGAUUGAAUAACUAACUGGGGGCAGACAGCCCCAAUUCCAGCUUCUGCAUCUACUGCCAACGCCUUUUUUUAGCUAAAAUAACAUUGAGGAAGAACCAAUCAACCUUAUUGUAGGCUUUUCAACAAUCGAGUUUCAGCAAAUACUCCUUUUUCUUAGCUUUACAGUCGCCCACCAACUCCAAAGCUAUAAGAAUCGCGUUGAGCAUUUGCUUCCCUUCCACAAAUGUGACUUGAGUAUUCACAAUGAUGUACAGGAAGAGGCUCACACCACAACCUCCAUCGAGAUUAACUCCUUCUAACGUAAAGCUCUCAUCAGUAUGUCAAUCUUGAAAGUGCCCUUAAUAGCUCGAAGUCGGCAUAGAGGUGGAGAGCCUAAUCUUUAAUCUUGAAGCCACCUCACAGAUUUUUUCCAAAUUCAGAAGAUUGGUAUGUUUUUUCUUCAUCCACCACUGAAAAAGCGGGCUUUCACCUACAAAUAGGAAUGUUGAAGUCCGCCUCUUUAGCACACAACCCUAAACUUUUAUUCCAAUCUCUUUUCCUCAGUUCAAAGAAGACGCUUAUACUUUCCUUCAAACCCAACUCCUCUCCCUCUUAGCUUCACUAAGAUUUCCAUCUUCUUGAGAUUUAGUGUACAGAAGAAUCUUAAAUUUUUUUCAUUAUGAUCCUUCCUUCCUUUCAACUCUCCCAGCCUGUCGUAGAGGCUGGGAGAUUUUGAAGGAUGUUGUAACCACAUUCUCGAACUUAAAACAAGGAACCACUUAACUAUCCCAUAGCAGAGGAUGCUAAGGCAAACAGUUGGCAUUAAUUCCAUGGCUUAAACACCAUAAUUGCCUAACUUGUCUAACAACCCUUUAUGAAAUUGGAGUAUCAGUAUGCAGUUUUCAUUAAUUUUGCUUGUCCAAUCAGAGAUCACUGAAAACAUUAUGGACGAUUCUGUAUAUUAGCCUUUUUUAUAUCUGUAUUAGCCAUGGUUUUAGUUAUUGAUCUGUUGCUUUUGUGUGCAAUUUGGGAAAUUUGGUUCUCUAGUUUGAGGCUGCUUGCCCACAAAAUAUUGCUUUAAUUGCCAUGUAUGGUAAUUUGCAGACUUCCCUGUGUAUACUUUGUUGCUGUAUCAAACAGUGAAGUCCAUGCAAUUUUUGAAGGAGAAAUAAUUGAUCUUUGUUAUUACAUAUUUUAUAGGUUCUUUGUUAUUUACUAAUAUCUGAU
Molecule: long non-coding RNA, 2921 nt
Organism: Cucurbita maxima (winter squash)
Lineage: Eukaryota; Viridiplantae; Streptophyta; Magnoliopsida; Cucurbitales; Cucurbitaceae
Exons: 3
Source: RefSeq, a predicted model, not a curated record